GAUGAACGCUGGCGGCGUGCCUAAUACAUGCGAGUCGAGCGAACAGACGAGGAGCUUGCUUUUCUGAUGUUAGCGGCGGACGGGUGAGUAACACGUGGAUAACCUACCUAUAAGACUGGGAUAACUUCGGGAAACCGGAGCUAAUACCGGAUAAUAUUUUGAACCGCAUGGUUCAAAAGUGAAAGACGGUCUUGCUGUCACUUAUAGAUGGAUCCGCGCUGCAUUAGCUAGUUGGUAAGGUAACGGCUUACCAAGGCAACGAUGCGUAGCCGACCUGAGAGGGUGAUCGGCCACACUGGAACUGAGACACGGUCCAGACUCCUACGGGAGGCAGCAGUAGGGAAUCUUCCGCAAUGGGCGAAAGCCUGACGGAGCAACGCCGCGUGAGUGAUGAAGGUCUUCGGAUCGUAAAACUCUGUUAUUAGGGAAGAACAUAUGUGUAAGUAACUGUGCACAUCUUGACGGUACCUAAUCAGAAAGCCACGGCUAACUACGUG
Molecule: ribosomal RNA, 497 nt
Filed under: uncultured bacterium
Lineage: Bacteria
Description: partial 16S ribosomal RNA
Rfam family: Bacterial small subunit ribosomal RNA
Source: RNAcentral